GACGAACGCUGGCGGCGUGCCUAAUACAUGCAAGUCGAGCGCAGGAAAUCGACGGAACCCUUCGGGGGGAAGUCGACGGAAUGAGCGGCGGACGGGUGAGUAACACGUAAAGAACCUGCCCUCAGGCCUGGGAUAACCACGAGAAAUCGGGGCUAAUACCGGAUGGGUCAUCGGACCGCAUGGUCCGAGGAUGAAAGGCGCUUCGGCGUCGCCUGGGGAUGGCUUUGCGGUGCAUUAGCUAGUUGGUGGGGUAUUGGCCCACCAAGGCGACGAUGCAUAGCCGACCGGAGAGGGGGAUCGGCCACACUGGGACUGAGACACGGCCCAGACUCCUACGGGAGGCAGCAGUAGGGAAUCUUCCACAAUGGACGAAAGUCUGAUGGAGCAACGCCGCGUGAACGAUGAAGGCCUUCGGGUCGUAAAGUUCUGUUGUAAGGGAAGAACAAGUGCCGCAGGCAAUGGCGGCACCUUGACGGUACCUUGCGAGAAAGCCACGGCUAACUACGUGCCAGCCGCCGCCGUAA
Molecule: ribosomal RNA, 524 nt
Filed under: uncultured bacterium
Lineage: Bacteria
Description: partial 16S ribosomal RNA
Rfam family: Bacterial small subunit ribosomal RNA
Source: RNAcentral